RNAcentral lists this unclassified non-coding RNA (348 nucleotides) under soil metagenome. Its description in RNAcentral is "partial contains 5.8S ribosomal RNA, internal transcribed spacer 2, and large subunit ribosomal RNA". The stretch from base 1 to 120 matches the Rfam family "5.8S ribosomal RNA", at positions 35 to 154 of the family's 154-position model. The record is from RNAcentral.
GAUGAAGAACGUAGCAAAAUGGGAUAAGUAAUGUGAAUUGCAGAAUUCAGUGAAUCAUCGAAUCUUUGAACGCACAUUGCGCCCGCUGGUAUUCCGGCGGGCAUGCCUGUUCGAGCGUCAUUUCAACCCUCAAGCCCCCGGGUUUGGUGUUGGGGAUCGGCUCUGCCCUUCUGGGCGGUGCCGCCCCCGAAAUACAUUGGCGGUCUCGCUGCAGCCUCCAUUGCGUAGUAGCUAACACCUCGCAACUGGAACGCGGCGCGGCCAUGCCGUAAAACCCCAACUUCUGAAUGUUGACCUCGGAUCAGGUAGGAAUACCCGCUGAACUUAAGCAUAUCAAUAAGCGGAGGA